CAUCAGCGCGAGCGCCUUGAGCGUCGGCUUGGUUGUGUUCGUAGUUUAGAGGGAUUAAUUAAAAUUAAUUAAAAGAAAUAAUAUCAUUCAUCGUUUUUCAUCGUUUUGCGUUUCGAGAACGAUGACUGUGAGCCGUAAUUUACGAGUGUCGAUUCUGAUUGUCAACAACUGUUCGCAAAUUCCAACACCUGUCAUCGUCAGAUUUUUGAGAUUUUGUGCUAAUUGUGCGUCGUGAUUAAAAAAAAAUGACAUUCGUUCCGUGUUUAAUACAGAACGAUGGCUGUGAAACCGUAAUUUGUGAGUUUUCGAAAGUUCCAACACCUACCAUCUUCACAUUUUCGAGGUUAUGGUGCGUCGUGGUUAGUAUAGAUAAGAAAAUAAGAAACAAACCCAAAGAAUGUGAACACCACCGACUACUAUACAGCUUGUCGAAUUUUGUUUUCUUUAAAAAGAGCAUAUGUAGGAGCAGCAGAAAAAUAAACAAUUGAAAUUGCCGGAGAGGUUAUGAUUUCUUUUUGGAGAACAGAGGAAAUGAUGUGAAUCGGCAGUUUUUCUUCCGAACAAUGGACAAUGCUGUUUUGAAAAAUGUGGUCUUACCAUGUUGAACAAUUUAUGGCAUCUUCGCACAGGAAAACGGACGGAGCAGUCUUUCGAGUAUUUUUUUUUUGGAGAAUACAGCAAAUGACGGAAUCAGAGGCUUUUUGUGCGAAUAAUGGACAGUUCUGUUUGGAAAAUUUGGAUUCUAUUUCGAGAGGAUGUUCUCAAUUCAGAUAUAGCAUAUGAUCAUUAUACUCAUCAUGGAUCACUGCUUCGAGCAUUAUUUUUCUCAUGGUUCGAUCGUAACGGGCACAUUCAAUCUGAUCUCCGUCAAGCUACUCUCAAGCUCAGAAACGAUUUAAGCCACAGGAAAACACACCGUGCAAUCUUUUGAGUGUUUUUUUUUUGGAGAACAAAGCAAAUGAUGCGGAUCAGAGGUUUUUUUUCCAAAGAAUGGACAGUUCUGUUUGGAAAAUUUGGAUUCUAUUUCAAGAGGAUCCUAAUUCAUAUGAUAGUCAUUAUACUCAUCAUAGAUUUGAUAGUAACGUGCACAUUCAAUUCUGAUUUCCGUCAAGCUACUCUCAAGCUCAGAAACGAUUCAAUCCACAGGUUCGAAAAACGUGCUCUGUUAUAAAAUUCAAAUGAAUUCACUUCUAGAUCAAAGUAUUCUCCAUUAAGUUUCUUAUUAUUUAUGAUCAUUAUACUCAUCAUAGAUUUGAUUAGUCAUUAUACUCAUCAUAGAUUUGAUAGUAACGGGCACAUUCAAUUCUGAUUUCCGUCAAGCUACUCUCAAGCUCAGAAACGAUUCAAGCCACAGGUUCGAAAAACGUGCUCUGUUAUAAAAUUCAAAUGAAUUCACUUCUAGAUCAAAGCAUUCUCCAUUAAGUUUCUUAUUAUUAUUUUACAUGACUUUUUCUUAGUAAAUUUCCUAUAUUAGUCUGAAUAAUAACUGAAAUUUGUUAACAGUUUUACAUGUUCAAUGAAACAAAAAUUUCAAGUUAUUUUAAGACGAAACAUUUUUCUGUUUUUAUUCAAGAUUUAUAAUUGGAUAUUGUGAAGUAUUAUUAUUUCAGACAAAGUCUACAUUAGUUUGAUCCAAUGAAACAAAAAUCUCAAAUCAUUUAGGACAAUUCUGUUUUUUAUUGUGAAAAGCUAUUCAGACAAAACAAAUAUUUCACCAGGCUGAAAGAUUUAUGGCAUUUUUUUUGGAACAGGAAAACAGUUUGAGCAGUCUUUCGAGUGAUUUUUUUUUUUUUGAGGACAGAGCAAAUGUCAGAGCUUUUUUGUCCGAAGAAUGGACAGUUCUGUUUGGAAAAAUUUGGAUUCUAUUUCCAGAGGAUACUCCCAAUUCAGAUGUAGCAUAAGAUUAUUAUACUCAUCAUACAUAAGACUUAUGAAAAAAAAAACUUGAAUUAUUUUCAAACGAUUCACAAACAUUCUUUUUUCGGCAUAUAUCAUUAAAUUAUUUAUUCGUUAAUAAAGAACUUAAA
Long non-coding RNA from Venturia canescens, 2027 nucleotides. RefSeq lists it as uncharacterized. The transcript has 3 exons. The record is from RefSeq and is a predicted model, not a curated record. NCBI's taxonomy places the organism in Eukaryota, Metazoa, Arthropoda, Insecta, Hymenoptera, Ichneumonidae.